UACGUAGGUGGCAAGCGUUGUCCGGAUUUACUGGGCGUAAAGGGCGUGCAGGCGGUUUGUUAAGUCUAGGGUGAAAGCUCCCGGCUCAACUGGGAGAGGUCCUUGGAUACUGGCAAACUUGAGGGAGGCAGAGGAGAGUGGAAUUCCUGGUGUAGCGGUGAAAUGCGCAGAUAUCAGGAGGAACACCGGUGGCGAAGGCGGAUCUCUGGGCCAUUACUGACGCUGAGGAGCGAAAGCGUGGGGAGCGAACAGG
This 253-nucleotide ribosomal RNA is filed under the name uncultured bacterium. RNAcentral's name for it is "partial 16S ribosomal RNA". It matches the Rfam family "Bacterial small subunit ribosomal RNA", at positions 524 to 776 of the family's 1533-position model. The record is from RNAcentral.